GAUGAAGAACGUAGCGAAAUGCGAUACGUAAUGUGAAUUGCAGAAUUCAGUGAAUCAUCGAGUCUUUGAACGCACAUUGCGCCCCCUGGUAUUCCGGGGGGCAUGCCUGUCCGAGCGUCAUUGCUGCCCUCAAGCACGGCUUGUGUGUUGGGCCUCCGUCCUCCUCCCGGGGGACGGGCCCGAAAGGCAGCGGCGGCACCGCGUCCGGUCCUCGAGCGUAUGGGGCUUCGUCACCCGCUCUUGUAGGCCCGGCCGGCGCUUGCCGACACAUCAAUCUUUUUUCCAUGUUGACCUCGGAUCAGGUAGGGAUACCCGCUGAACUUAAGCAUAUCAAUAAGCGGAGGA
Molecule: unclassified non-coding RNA, 345 nt
Filed under: soil metagenome
Description: partial contains 5.8S ribosomal RNA, internal transcribed spacer 2, and large subunit ribosomal RNA
Rfam family: 5.8S ribosomal RNA (bases 1-120)
Source: RNAcentral